CCAGACUCCUACGGGAGGCAGCAGUGGGGAAUAUUGCACAAUGGGGGAAACCCUGAUGCAGCGACGCCGCGUGGAGGAAGAAGGUCUUCGGAUUGUAAACUCCUGUUGUUGAGGAGGAUAAUGACGGUACUCAACAAGGAAGUGACGGCUAACUACGUGC
This 160-nucleotide ribosomal RNA is filed under the name uncultured bacterium. RNAcentral's name for it is "partial 16S ribosomal RNA". It matches the Rfam family "Bacterial small subunit ribosomal RNA", at positions 331 to 508 of the family's 1533-position model. The record is from RNAcentral.